UACGUAGGGUGCGAGCGUUAAUCGGAAUUACUGGGCGUAAAGCGUGCGCAGGCGGUUUUGUAAGCCCGAUGUGAAAUCCCCGGGCUUAACCUGGGAAUGGCAUUUGGGACUGCAAGGCUGGAGUGUGGCAGAGGAGACUGGAAUUCCUGGUGUAGCAGUGAAAUGCGUAGAUAUCAGGAGGAAUACCGAUGGCGAAGGCAGGUCUCUGGGCUGACACUGACGCUCAUGCACGAAAGCGUGGGGAGCAAACAGG
RNAcentral lists this ribosomal RNA (253 nucleotides) under uncultured bacterium. RNAcentral describes it as "partial 16S ribosomal RNA". It matches the Rfam family "Bacterial small subunit ribosomal RNA", at positions 524 to 776 of the family's 1533-position model. The record is from RNAcentral.